UCUACAUUGCAGGAAUUUCCCCUUGUUUUUAAAGGCAGCUUCCAUUGUCACAGCAAGUUUGAAUACUGCAUUUCCCUCCUUUCCUUUUUUUUUUUUUUUUUGAGACGGAGUUUCGCUGUCUCCCAGGCGGGAGUGCAGGGCCGCGACCUCGGCUCACUGCAGGCCCCGCCCCCCGGGGUUCACGCCAUUCUCCUGCCUCAGCUUCCGGAGUAGCUGGGACUACAGGCGCCCGCCACCUCGCCCGGCUAAUUUUUUGUAUUUUUAGUAGAGACGGGGUUUCACUGUGUUAUCCAGGAUGGUCUCCAUCUCCUGACCUCGUGAUCCGCCCGCCUCGGCCUCCCAAAGUGCUGGGAUUACAGGCGUGAGCCACCGCGCCCGGCCCCUCCUUUACUUCUUGGCACCUUUAGAAGAUUCUGACUGCUGUUCACUUAAGUGGGAACAGCACUGCGUGCACAAUGCUCACUGUGCAUCUGCCCGUGUUCCGAGUCGCAUCCAAUAUGACUUCCUGGCAGCGGGCUGGCGUCUGCGUAUUGUUACUGCGGUGGUUGUCUACCUGAGCCUUGUCUACUGUGAGCCGGAACACCUACCUCCCCCUCUGGAGAGCAGGAAUUGGAGAGGGAAGAGAGAAGCCCCUCCCAUUCGCUUCUACUGGGGCUUGUUAAGCCAUCGCCUUGGGGGCCGGCUGAUCAGCGGCAGCCAGCAGCCGGCGGCUUCGGCAGGCAGGAACAAGGACAGCCUGUGGCUACUGCAGCCCCACUGCCCGGCCAUGCUUCAUGAUGGGGGAGAGUGCCUUGGGAGGAAUAUACAGGCAAAUCAUGACUCCCAGAGGCCCAUGGACUGGAGCUAUUAACGUCCUGCAGAUGGGAGCCACUCUCUCACUGUGAUCAUCAAG
Molecule: long non-coding RNA, 892 nt
Filed under: Pan troglodytes (chimpanzee)
Lineage: Eukaryota; Metazoa; Chordata; Mammalia; Primates; Hominidae
Description: lncRNA (ENSPTRG00000052954.1)
Source: RNAcentral